UAAUCUUGCUUUUCAUGUUGUGUCCAUUAUUGGUUGAAAUAAGAAUGAGAAGGGCACAUAAACUUGAGUUCUUCAUCACAUAAAUCCGAACUUAACCAAAAAAUAUCAACCAAACAAAUAAGAAUCACAAGGCCACACAAUUUAGCCAAAUGGUCUUUCCCUUUGAUAAUAAAUAAAUAAAUUAAAUAAAUCAACUAAACAUCAAUAAAACAAGGUGUUGUCCGAGACCAUUUUUUGCCCUCCCAUAUUUGGUUCCUAAACAGGUUUUCCUGUAGCAUUAUCAGAAGCAACCUUGGCAGAAGGGGUUUUCUUAGACACCCAGAAGGGGAAACAACCAGUAGCUGCUGGGAUUUUCCUUUCAUCAAACACCUUAUCAUCACCCUUUGCCUCCUGCUGUCUCUUCUCCAUUUCCUUCAUUUUCUUCAUUUUCUCCUUAUGAAGAGAUCGCAUCACGUAAGCUUCAGCGAAAUUAGCUCCAAGACUAACAGUUGCCAUUGAUAGACUGAUAAAAAAAAAAGCUUUUUUAGGUCGAUGCGAUAUUUCACUAGGCUUUGUGUUUGAAAGCACGCUAUUAGGAAAGGAAUGAUGUUUCCAGAACUAUUGAAACUGGGAAAUUUAUAGGCAGCUGGGGGGGCAGAUGGGCGAAGCUUUCAUUGUUGGGUCGAUAGUCGAUAGGUCUUCAAUUUGGCUUGCUGGCCAAGGAAAUCCAUUCGCUGACAUUGUUGAACUCCUUCUUUUUGUGCUGUAAGUUCUGAGAAAGUGUGGAUUUUGUUUUUUAUGUUUUGAAUAUGUCAAUAUUUGACGUGAUUUUUGUAUAUUUAUAGUUUACAUUUUUU
RNAcentral lists this long non-coding RNA (836 nucleotides) under Gossypium raimondii (Peruvian cotton). Its description in RNAcentral is "long non-coding RNA (GRAI_LNC007101)". Lineage: Eukaryota; Viridiplantae; Streptophyta; Magnoliopsida; Malvales; Malvaceae. The record is from RNAcentral.